Molecule: ribosomal RNA, 274 nt
Filed under: uncultured bacterium
Lineage: Bacteria
Description: partial 16S ribosomal RNA
Rfam family: Bacterial small subunit ribosomal RNA
Source: RNAcentral
ACACGUAAGGGGCAAGCGUUGUUCGGAAUCACUGGGCGUAAAGGGCGCGCAGGCGGUUUGGUAAGUCAGAUGUGAAAGCCCACGGCUCAACCGUGGAAGUGCAUUUGAAACUGUCAGACUUGAGUACUAGAGGGGAAAGUGGAAUUCCCGGUGUAGAGGUGAAAUUCGUAGAUAUCGGGAGGAAUACCGGUGGCGAAGGCGACUUUCUGGCUAGAUACUGACGCUGAGGCGCGAAAGCGUGGGGAGCAAACAGGAGUAGAAACCCGGGUAGUCC